GGAAAACACCCCAUGGAUAAAUAGGUUCACACCUCAUAAGGGCUUCCAGCGCUUUGAGGCUCUGGAGCAGAGUGAUUGGUUGAGUCCGAGCCAGGCUUCCCGUCAGAGGUUCCUGUUCAUCACCAUCUUGGACAAAAAGGUGACUCUUUACAGCUACAACUGGUCUGUGGACCU
Molecule: long non-coding RNA, 174 nt
Organism: Nematolebias whitei (Rio pearlfish)
Lineage: Eukaryota; Metazoa; Chordata; Actinopteri; Cyprinodontiformes; Rivulidae
Exons: 3
Source: RefSeq, a predicted model, not a curated record